UACGUAGGGGGCAAGCGUUGUCCGGAUUUAUUGGGCGUAAAGAGCGUGUAGGCGGCUUUACAGGUCCGUUGUGAAAACUCGAGGCUCAACCUCGAGACGCCGGUGGAAACCGUAAAGCUAGAGUCCGGAAGAGGAGAGUGGAAUUCCUGGUGUAGCGGUGAAAUGCGCAGAUAUCAGGAAGAACACCCGUGGCGAAGGCGGCUCUCUGGGACGGUACCGACGCUGAGACGCGAAAGCGUGGGGAGCGAACAGG
Molecule: ribosomal RNA, 253 nt
Filed under: uncultured bacterium
Lineage: Bacteria
Description: partial 16S ribosomal RNA
Rfam family: Bacterial small subunit ribosomal RNA
Source: RNAcentral